RNAcentral lists this ribosomal RNA (157 nucleotides) under Pratylenchus goodeyi. RNAcentral describes it as "5.8S ribosomal RNA". It matches the Rfam family "5.8S ribosomal RNA". Rfam says of the family: 5.8S ribosomal RNA (5.8S rRNA) is a component of the large subunit of the eukaryotic ribosome. It is transcribed by RNA polymerase I as part of the 45S precursor that also contains 18S and 28S rRNA. RNAcentral also lists the same sequence under 1 other name. Lineage: Eukaryota; Metazoa; Nematoda; Chromadorea; Rhabditida; Pratylenchidae. The record is from RNAcentral.
UCAGUCUUACCGGUGGAUCACUCGGUUCGUGGAUCGAUGAAGAACGCAGCAAACUGCGAUAAGUAGCGUGAAUUGCAGACGCUUUGAACGUUAAACUUUCGAACGCACAUUGCGCCGUAGGAGUCCUACCCUGCGGCACAUCUGGUUGAGGGUCGUG